AAAAAACUCAUCCUAGCACCAAAACCUUUCGUCAAAAAAGUUACGUUUUUUUUUUUUAAAUUGGCGCGUUUCCAUUAAGUGAAUUUAUUUUCAAAAUGCGCAAUUAAAUGAUA
Xiphophorus hellerii (green swordtail) is the source of this 113-nucleotide long non-coding RNA. RefSeq lists it as uncharacterized. The transcript is spliced from 3 exons. The record is from RefSeq and is a predicted model, not a curated record. NCBI's taxonomy places the organism in Eukaryota, Metazoa, Chordata, Actinopteri, Cyprinodontiformes, Poeciliidae.